This 641-nucleotide ribosomal RNA is filed under the name Paenibacillus sp. FJAT-17067. RNAcentral's name for it is "bacterial SSU rRNA". It matches the Rfam family "Bacterial small subunit ribosomal RNA", at positions 91 to 719 of the family's 1533-position model. The record is from RNAcentral. Lineage: Bacteria; Bacillati; Bacillota; Bacilli; Caryophanales; Paenibacillaceae.
GUUAGCGGCGGACGGGUGAGUAACACGUAGGCAACCUGCCCUCAGGACUGGGAUAACUACCGGAAACGGUAGCUAAUACCAGAUAAUUCACUUUUUCGCAUGGAGAAGUGAGGAAAGACGGAGCAAUCUGUCACCGGAGGAUGGGCCUGCGGCGCAUUAGCUAGUUGGAGAGGUAACGGCUCCCCAAGGCGACGAUGCGUAGCCGACCUGAGAGGGUGAUCGGCCACACUGGGACUGAGACACGGCCCAGACUCCUACGGGAGGCAGCAGUAGGGAAUCUUCCGCAAUGGGCGAAAGCCUGACGGAGCAACGCCGCGUGAGUGAUGAAGGUUUUCGGAUCGUAAAGCUCUGUUGCCAAGGAAGAACGUCCUUAAGAGUAACUGCUUAAGGAGUGACGGUACUUGAGAAGAAAGCCCCGGCUAACUACGUGCCAGCAGCCGCGGUAAUACGUAGGGGGCAAGCGUUGUCCGGAAUUAUUGGGCGUAAAGCGCGCGCAGGCGGUCAUUUAAGUCUGGUGUUUAAGCCCGGGGCUCAACCCCGGAUCGCACGGGAAACUGGAUGACUUGAGUGCAGAAGAGGAGAGUGGAAUUCCACGUGUAGCGGUGAAAUGCGUAGAGAUGUGGAGGAACACCAGUGGCGAA